AGAGUUUGAUCAUGGCUCAGAACGAACGCUGGCGGCGCGUUUUAAGCAUGCAAGUCGAGCGGCAGGGGGGCCUCGGUCCCCCGAGAGCGGCGGACGGGUGAGUAACACGUGGACAACGUGCCCCCCGGUUCGGGAUAGCCCAGGGAAACCUGGAUCAAUACCGGAUGCGAGGGCGGCCGCACAAGCGGCCGUCGGGAAAGGCGCUUCGGCGCCGCCGGGGGAUGGGUCCGCGUCCCAUUAGCUAGACGGUGGGGUAACGGCCCACCGUGGCGAUGAUGGGUAGCCGGCCUGAGAGGGUGGACGGCCACAUUGGAACUGAGACACGGUCCAGACUCCUACGGGAGGCAGCAGCUAAGAAUCUUCCGCAAUGGGCGAAAGCCUGACGGAGCGACGCCGCGUGAACGAAGAAGGCCGUGAGGUUGUAAAGUUCUUUUCGGGAGGGGGAACGAGGCUGCCAGGCAAUGGGCGGCCGAUGACGUGAAUCCCGGAAUAAGCCCCGGCUAACUCCGUGCCAGCAGCCGCGGUAACACGUAGGGGGCGAGCGUUGUUCGGAAUCAUUGGGCGUAAAGGGCGUGCAGGCGGCCGCCAAAGUCCGGCGUGAAAGACCCAGGCUCAACCUGGGGGGUGCGCCGGAUACUGGGCGGCUUGAGUACAGGAGGGGACGGCGGAAUUCCAGGUGUAGGGGUGAAAUCUGUAGAUAUCUGGAGGAACACCGAUGGCGAAGGCAGCCGUCUGGCCAUGUACUGACGCUGAGGCGCGAAGGUGCGGGGAGCAAACAGGUUUAGAUACCCUGGUAGUCCGCACAGUAAACGAUGUGCACCAGGCGGCGGGGGCAACCUCGCUGCCGCAGUCAACGCAUUAAGUGCACCGCCUGGGGAGUAUGCCCGCAAGGGUGAAACUCAAAUGAAUUGACGG
RNAcentral lists this ribosomal RNA (915 nucleotides) under uncultured bacterium. RNAcentral's name for it is "bacterial SSU rRNA". It matches the Rfam family "Bacterial small subunit ribosomal RNA", at positions 8 to 916 of the family's 1533-position model. The record is from RNAcentral.